CGGGUGAGUAACACGUGAGUAACCUGCCCUUCACUCUGGGAUAACGUCGGGAAACCGGUGCUAAUACUGGAUAUGACCUACUCGGGCAUCCGAUGUGGGUGGAAAGAUUUAUUGGUGGGGGAUGGACUCGCGGCCUAUCAGCUUGUUGGUGAGGUAAUGGCUUACCAAGGCGACGACGGGUAGCCGGCCUGAGAGGGCGAUCGGCCACACUGGGACUGAGACACGGUCCAG
Molecule: ribosomal RNA, 231 nt
Filed under: uncultured bacterium
Lineage: Bacteria
Description: partial 16S ribosomal RNA
Rfam family: Bacterial small subunit ribosomal RNA
Source: RNAcentral